This 496-nucleotide ribosomal RNA is filed under the name uncultured bacterium. Its description in RNAcentral is "partial 16S ribosomal RNA". It matches the Rfam family "Bacterial small subunit ribosomal RNA", at positions 28 to 506 of the family's 1533-position model. The record is from RNAcentral.
GAUGAACGCUGGCGGCGUGCCUAAUACAUGCAAGUCGAGCGAACAGACGAGGAGCUUGCUCCUCUGACGUUAGCGGCGGACGGGUGAGUAACACGUGGAUAACCUACCUAUAAGACUGGGAUAACUUCGGGAAACCGGAGCUAAUACCGGAUAAUAUAUUGAACCGCAUGGUUCAAUAGUGAAAGACGGUUUUGCUGUCACUUAUAGAUGGAUCCGCGCCGCAUUAGCUAGUUGGUAAGGUAACGGCUUACCAAGGCGACGAUGCGUAGCCGACCUGAGAGGGUGAUCGGCCACACUGGAACUGAGAGACGGUCCAGACUCCUACGGGAGGCAGCAGUAGGGAAUCUUCCGCAAUGGGCGAAAGCCUGACGGAGCAACGCCGCGUGAGUGAUGAAGGUCUUCGGAUCGUAAAACUCUGUUAUUAGGGAAGAACAAAUGUGUAAGUAACUAUGCACGUCUUGACGGUACCUAAUCAGAAAGCCACGGCUAACUACGU